UGGUAAUGUGGUAAUAUCAGGAAGGAUCAUCUGAGAAUUAUAUUGAUUUGAUUUAACCUUUAGCUUGACUACAUAUGGAUAUAAACUGAUCUAGAUUGACUUAGUUGAACAUUAUGAUUAGCUAAGCCACCUAUCGAUCUACCAUAUGGGACAUCGGUUAUGAGCUGAUAUGAUUUGAAAUCAGAUAUACUAUGAAUCAGUUACUCUCCAGCUCCACUAUAGCUAUUUUCUAGCUAUGUUAUAACUACUCUUUAUGUAGGGUGAACAACCCAUAAUCUCCAUACAGCUAGCCAUUUUAUUAUAACAAACUGACAGCCU
Molecule: long non-coding RNA, 318 nt
Filed under: Elaeis guineensis (African oil palm)
Lineage: Eukaryota; Viridiplantae; Streptophyta; Magnoliopsida; Arecales; Arecaceae
Description: long non-coding RNA (EGUI_LNC045830)
Source: RNAcentral